Molecule: long non-coding RNA, 582 nt
Filed under: Chrysemys picta bellii (western painted turtle)
Lineage: Eukaryota; Metazoa; Chordata; Testudines; Emydidae
Description: lncRNA (ENSCPBG00000019429.1)
Source: RNAcentral
AGAAGAAUGAUGACCUAUACAACCUCAGCAAAUCCUUCUUUUAACUCAUGGGUAUCCAGACUAUAAAUGUUACAUGAAUCACAACUAGGACCUCACAUCCUCCUCCUCGUCCAUAGAUGGGUAUGAUGCAUCCAGUUCAGUUUGUUUACUUUACACAAACCUCAGGAGUUAGUUGACUGAACUGCACAUUCUAUGUUGUGCCAAGCAAAAGCACUGUGACACCUGGACAAUGAGUCUCUAUUACUUCAUCCUCUACCAUAAGGACUUAGCUGGACACAAUGAACUGAUGUGCCCACCACUAUGUCAUGGCUGUAUUAACUCAAAUGAAGAUAAACUUACUGUAGAUGGUAUUUACAAGUGUCAACUUGAACUCAUCUAUUGCACAGAAACUUACAAAAAGCAGAAAAAAGAAAUCAAAGUCUUCCAUUGUAUAUAUUGUUAGGAGAAAAAAGGAAAAAAAGAACCAUGGGUGAAGUCUUCAAAUCAAAACUCUUCCUGGAAUGAAAAAUGUGGGUGUUUGUAAAUUCUGGAAAUCUUUCUAUACAUAAUAAACUAGAUACUGUUUUAUCUGCUUAUUUUUUU